Molecule: ribosomal RNA, 486 nt
Filed under: uncultured bacterium
Lineage: Bacteria
Description: bacterial SSU rRNA
Rfam family: Bacterial small subunit ribosomal RNA
Source: RNAcentral
GAUGAACGCUAGCGGCAGGCCUAACACAUGCAAGUCGAGGGGUAACGUGAGUGCUUGCACUUGACGACGACCGGCGCACAGGUGCGGAACGCGUAUGGAACCUACCUUUAUCAGGGGGAUAGCCCAUGGAAACGUGGAUUAAUACCCCAUAGUAUUAUUUCAUUGCAUGAUGAUUUAAUUAAAGAAUUUCGGAUAGAGAUGGCCAUGCGUAUCAUUAGCUAGUAGGCGAGGUAACGGCUCACCUAGGCGACGAUGAUUAGGGGUCCUGAGAGGGAGAUCCCCCACACUGGUACUGAGACACGGACCAGACUCCUACGGGAGGCAGCAGUGAGGAAUAUUGGGCAAUGGAGGCAACUCUGACCCAGCCAUUGCCCCGCGUGCAGGAAGACGGCCCUAUGGGUUGUAAACUGCUUUUAUACAGGAAGAACACCACCCACGUGUGGGUGACUGACGGUACUGUAAGAAUAAGGACCGGCUAACUCCGUG